This 3404-nucleotide long non-coding RNA is filed under the name Homo sapiens (human). Its description in RNAcentral is "non-protein coding lnc-RASGRP3-14:2". Lineage: Eukaryota; Metazoa; Chordata; Mammalia; Primates; Hominidae. The record is from RNAcentral.
CUCAACUGAUUUACAAGCUGCUUAUUAUCAGGGAUUAUAUCUAAUUUAUUUCUCUGUGGUUCAAUCUCAUGAGAACAUUAUUAGGUACACAGAACAUUCGAUUAAAACAUCUAGUAUUUUGCACCAAUAUGCAUGAUUCUUGUUGAUAUAAAAUAGUUAAAAUGAACUUCAUGGAGCACCGUCAUGACUUAUUAUUACCAGCGGGAAGCAAGCCAGGGUUAACACCCUCCCUGUCUAGUGAAUACAGCACACUGAUGGGUCUUGACUCUUUAUCUAACUUGCCAGAGUGAACAGGCAACCUACAACAUGGGAGAAAAUUUUUGCAACCUACUCAUCUGACAAAGGGCUAAUAUCCAGAAUCUACAAUGAACUCAAACAAAUUUACAAGAAAAAAACAAACAACCCCAUCAAAAAGUGGGCGAAGGACAUGAACAGACACUUCUCAAAAGAAGACAUUUAUGCAGCCAAAAAACACAUGAAGAAAUGCUCAUCAUCACUGGCCAUCAGAGAAAUGCAAAUCAAAACCACUAUGAGAUAUCAUCUCACACCAGUUAGAAUGGCAAUCAUUAAAAAGUCAGGAAACAACAGGUGCUGGAGAGGAUGCGGAGAAAUAGGAACACUUUUACACUGUUGGUGGGACUGUAAACUAGUUCAACCAUUGUGGAAGUCAGUGUGGCGAUUCCUCAGGGAUCUAGAACUAGAAAUACCAUUUGACCCAGCCAUCCCAUUACUGGGUAUAUACCCAAAUGAGUAUAAAUCAUGCUGCUAUGAAGACACAUGCACACGUAUGUUUAUUGCGGCACUAUUCACAAUAGCAAAGACUUGGAACCAACCCAAAUGUCCAACAAUGAUAGACUGGAUUAAGAAAAUGUGGCACAUAUACACCAUGGAAUACUAUGCAGCCAUAAAAAAUGAUGAGUUCAUAUCCUUUGUAGGGACAUGGAUGAAAUUGGAAACCAUCAUUCUCAGUAAACUAUCGCAAGAACAAAAAACCAAACACCGCAUAUUCUCACUCAUAGGUGGGAAUUGAACAAUGAGAUCACAUGGACACAGGAAGGGGAAUAUCACACUCUGGGGACUGUGGUGGGGUCGGGGGAGGGGGGAGGGAUAGCAUUGGGAGAUAUACCUAAUGCUAGAUGACACAUUAGUGGGUGCAGCGCACCAGCAUGGCACAUGUAUACAUAUGUAACUAACCUGCACAAUGUGCACAUGUACCCUAAAACUUAGAGUAUAAUAAAAAAAAAAAAAAAAAAUUAUUAUGUUUUAAUUUUUCAUGGCUGUGUCCCUCUGCCCCAGUAGAAUGUAUAUCUUAUCACUCUGUGCGGUCCUCGGCACAAAGUGUCAGUUGCUUACCAUAGCUAAACUGGAUGGGGAAAUAUUACUAUGACCAGGAGAGGGACACAGAAGAACACAGACUUAUCUUUCUCAAAAUAGAGAAAGAGAAAAAAAAAAGAAUCAUGUUAAUCGCUUGAAGGACUUACACAAAAUUUGGCAUGCUUAAUUUAACAAUAUCAAUAAACAUGAAAACAACAGUUACAUCUAUGUGUAUGGUAUGUGUCAGAUACUGUUUAAAGAUGCCUUCACACUGCUUGGACACUAAGAAGCAAACCCAUCUUAACAUGAUUUCACUCUUUCAUAGCCUUUGUUAGCAUAACUUUCCUACUUCAAAAGACUCUUGCAGGAAGAUAAAGGUUCCAAAGGACUAUUUUUUAUUACAGGAUUUCUCAAGACCCAUUACCUUUUCAAUCGAAAUCAUCAACAAAUUACUGCCUAGGAUUCAUGACUCACUCUCUCUUCAAAAUAUUCUCCUUACUGUUUUCACCAAUCCUAAACUAUCAUUAUUCUCAGCCAGUCCUCAUAAAGAUCCUCACUGAAAAAACCUCCUUUCACCUAGACUGCAAAAUUUCAGUAAGUCAGACUUUGUCCUUUCCACUUUAAGAUGCUAUCAGACUCUGCCAAUGUGCUGUUCUCCUGAGUAAGUCAUAGUCUCAGCUUUGCUUCAUUAAAAGUUUAUAAACAGCUUUUGCUGUUCUGGGGAGCUUUCAGCAAGCACUUCACCUAUAAAUAACUUAACUCUCACAGCAACCCCAUGAGGUUUAAUGUAUUAUUAUUUACAUUUUACAGAAGCGACCUAAGCCCAAAGUUACACAGUAAGUAGGUGGGAGAGCUGAAAUUUGAAUCCAGGCUGUCUAGCCCCAUGGCCAGUAUAUCUGUAUUAAAUUCCUGGGAGUCAUUUAAAAACUACUAUAAUUGACUUCAUUUGGAAGAAAUUUCAAAACAUUACAAUAAAUAAAAACAUUUCAAAAAAACUACAAGUAAAAAUGCAAUAUUGUAUUAUUUACAAUACAUAAAUCACUUAUUUCUCUGUUCACUUGUUCUGUGUUCUUUCUCCAUCUAAAGGAGCAAUGAUAAACAUACUGGCAUUUACAAUGGUCAUGAUGCAGGAAGAGUGUCUUAAUUCCUAAAAACUUUCUGGCCUUUGAAAAAUAACCACUGCAUUUAUAACCCCCGAAUGGCCACAGUAGGUAUACAUGAAUUUCAACUUGAAUUUAUACUUCUAGGGAAAGAUAAUAAUCAGUUACUAAUUUGUUAACAAUACUUCUGGAGUAAAAGUCCAUGGAUAAUCAAAUGGGGGUGAAAGAAAGGAAUUCUCUAAGUGGGUUUUGUUGGGAAUUGUCAAAGGUAGGAAGAAAUAGGAAUAUGGAUUCUGGAGAGAAAAUGUGUAAGGCUAGAUUCCUGUCCUGAUGACUGUUAUACUUGAUUUGAAUAAAAAUGUUUAUCCUAGUGCAAUAAAGAAAACUUGAAUGGCUUACUAAUGUUAUAUGUGAUGGAUUCAAGGCCCUAUAUUAUGCCAACAACCUAGAAGAAUGUGGCAAAACUGACAAAAAUUUGCAUACAAAAAUAUAAACUCUGGCUUUUAGAUCUGAAAAAUAAAUUAUGUUGAAUGCUUUCUAACAACUAAAGCUGAUUUACAGUGAAUUAGUCAGCCUCAAAAUACAGUGAGUCCUCCAAUACAAAUAUUUAAAUAGAACAUAGGUGGACCUCUUUCUGGAAUAUUGUAUGACAAUCAUAUAUAAUAACAUCUAAAGGUCUUUCUAAUUCCUAAAUCCAUGUUAUAGAUGUACCAAUGUAUUUUGGUAGAUCUAAGCCAUGCAUUCAAACUUCAGUAAUGUAGCAUUUAGUCAUUUCUCAAUUUACAUAUCUUACCAGUAAAUAUUUUUUGGGUGCUGCGUACAUCAUUGUAACUUUAAGUGUACAUGUCUUGCAUUUAAAAAUAUUCCUAAGUAUUUUAUUAUUUUGAUACUAUUUUAUUUUUGAGAAAGGAUCUCGCUCUGUUACCCAGGCUAGAGUGCAGUGGUGCAAUCUCAGCUUACUGUAGUGUCUGCCUCCUGGGCUCAAGUGAU